This 369-nucleotide long non-coding RNA is filed under the name Olea europaea subsp. europaea. The record is from RNAcentral. Lineage: Eukaryota; Viridiplantae; Streptophyta; Magnoliopsida; Lamiales; Oleaceae.
CUGCACAAAAUCAUCCGAAACAUUUUCGGCAAAAAUAUUAUAGACAAUCACUUGUUAGUUCUACUCAUUGUACUCGUGAUGUUGCUACCAAUAUGGUUGAAACUUUCCUUAUUGUCUCAUGCUUCGGUGAGUAGGGUAUCGACAUCUAUUAUUAUAGUUGGUUCAGUUUAUCAGUAGGUGCAUUUAAAAGUGUUUGCUUUAAAGAGGGAUGGGUCCUUUUGAGAUGGAAUGGACUACCAACUGUCAUGAGCCUAUACUCCUUCCGUUAUUGCUUCAUGCAGUUUUUUCGACUCUCUGCAGUUUCAUAAAUGAUAAAAAUCAAGUUUCCAAGGUGAGUUGUGCCAAAAAUACUACAAAAAUCGACUUGUC